RNAcentral lists this ribosomal RNA (354 nucleotides) under uncultured bacterium. RNAcentral's name for it is "partial 16S ribosomal RNA". It matches the Rfam family "Bacterial small subunit ribosomal RNA", at positions 338 to 684 of the family's 1533-position model. The record is from RNAcentral.
CCUACGGGAGGCAGCAGUGGGGACUAUUGCGCAAUGGGCGAAAGCCUGACGCAGCGACGCCGCGUGAGGGAUGAAGGUCUUCGGAUCGUAAACCUCUGUCAGCAGGGAAGAACGGUCACUGUGCUAAUCAGCAGUGAAUUGACGGUAACUGCAAAGGAAGCACCGGCUAACUCCGUGCCAGCAGCCGCGGUAAUACGUAGGGUGCGAGCGGUAAUCGGAAUUACGGGGCGUAGAGCGCUCGUAGGCGGUAUGUCAAGUCAAGGGUGAAAUCCCAGCGCUCAACGUGGGAACUGGCUUUGAAACUGGCAAACUGGAGUGUGUGAGAGGGUAGGGGAAUUGCAGGUGUAGGAGGGA